AACAAAGUAAUAUGCAUAACUUGGCUUCACCAAAACAAUCUAGUCAAGCAUAAACUACAAAAGAGUGCGAAGGUUCAUAUAAUCACUUGAUUAGUCAUAUGAAUUAAUAUAAAUUUUACAAGAUUGGUAGUUAUCACCCUUGAGAUGUUGUGACACAAUCACAGCACCUGUAUUCUCAUUAAGGAUGUACAAAAUACGGAUUCAAAGCCGGAUCAGCAAGAAUUUCACCAUUGUUGUGUGCCAUGAUGAAUCU
RNAcentral lists this long non-coding RNA (253 nucleotides) under Trifolium pratense (red clover). RNAcentral describes it as "long non-coding RNA (TPRA_LNC011793)". The record is from RNAcentral. Lineage: Eukaryota; Viridiplantae; Streptophyta; Magnoliopsida; Fabales; Fabaceae.